CAUCUUAUUUUUUUAUUGCUGUUGAUUUCUUGAGGCUUGAAACUCUACUUUUUGCUAGCUGUGCUUCAUAUUUUGCUAUUAUCUUGACCCACAGUUUCGGGUGAAGAAGAAUAUGGAUGGUUAUGAGAUAAAAGUGGAAUUCGACUUUAAAGUUUCGUGCUUUGGGAACUGAUCGAAUGAUCGGAACUUUUGUGAGGUUCAUGUGAAGAUGACUGACUGCUUUUUGGGAUACAAUUUUGUUUUAUGAGAAUAUUGCAAAUAGCAGCAAUUCUGUCCAUUUUCCUCUCAUCAAUGGAUUAUCUUGUAACUGAUAAACAGCAAACACGUAGCGAUGUUCUUGAUUGAAUAGUAGUACAAUAUUUGCAGCUAAUAGAAACAUAUGAACUUGUAGAGUUAUUCAAGACAACGGCUGACAGUCUAGACAAAGGCCAGCGUGACGAACCAUGCGAAGGCGAGGAGUGACAGGUCCUCUGCAAGUCGCAAAUAGCAUGUCAGUUUCAAGGAACAAUCUAAAUUUCAAGGUAAAACAAACUACUUCUUACCGGCUUUCCAAGGAUUAAAUCUCGAACCAUGGCUCCACGAUCCUCCAUAGAAACAAUCCGUUGUUCUGUUCAAGCCAUCGGGGCAGUUGCAAGUGAAUUCCUUGUCCGGGCUGCUCUUGUAUCCGCAGACUCCGCCACUCUUCUCACAGGUAGCGCACAGUGUCGGAUAAUCAUUGUUGUAGUUGAACUUAUACUUGAUCGCGAUCCCAUAUUUCCAUCCCGCGGGGUUAGCUUCUUGACCGUUGAAUCCAUACACUGCUGAGUAAGAAGUGCAGUGCAGCUUCUGCAGGUCCAUCUCGAAGGAAGGCCCGAGAUCUACUGGCGUGUAGACACAGCACGUCGUGAUUGGCAGGCUCAGCCUGCCUAUGGCCUCGCAGGAGUAGAGCAGGCUGCAGAUGGAGCCACCCUCGGAGUCACACAUGGGGAAGGUGGUGUUGCUUCCACCACUGUAGACCGGCGAGGAGGCCAUAGAGCAGUCGAGCAGCGCGAAGACUGUGCUGUCGUGGAAGCUGAACGGGGCGUCCCAGUCGAGGCCGAAGCCUUUGCUGGGCUGAGUGCAGGAACAAGUUGACAUGGUGGGGUCGGAAAUGUACAUGACUUGGUCGCUGUAGUCGAUGGUGGUGACGGUGUAGCAGCCGGUGUGGGUGGUGAACGUUAGCUGCUCGCCGCUGCAGGUGACGUAGGGUGCAAAGCGCGGACUGCCGCAGCCGGCGCCGGUGCCGAAGGGGUACUUGAUGGGGAGUACACCACAUGUAUUUUGGCAGGUUUGGGAUGAGACUAAGUUGGGAA
Salvia miltiorrhiza (redroot sage) is the source of this 1331-nucleotide long non-coding RNA. RefSeq lists it as uncharacterized. The record is from RefSeq and is a predicted model, not a curated record. Lineage: Eukaryota; Viridiplantae; Streptophyta; Magnoliopsida; Lamiales; Lamiaceae. The transcript has 2 exons.